CAGUCUGCACUACGGGCUCUUGCUCGUUCAGGAAUGAGAAUUGGCCGCAUUGAGGAUGUGACUCCAAUCCCAACUGACAGCACCAGAAGAAAGGGUGGUAGAAGAGGUAGAAGAUUGUAAGCUGGCUUGGAGAUAUUUCACCUCCGAUCUUUCCGUCUUCAAUUUUGGAAGGUUGAUGUAGUUCUUAGAGGUGUUAGCUUUGAAGAACUGGAACAUUUUGUAGUAUUUGGAAUUGGCCUUGCUGACUAUGCUUUACAUUAAGUUUUUUUUUUAUUUUGAGGGAAUGAUCUACAUUAAUUAUGAAGGUAUUCUUUCUAGUUUGUUUUA
Molecule: non-coding RNA, 327 nt
Organism: Prunus avium (sweet cherry)
Lineage: Eukaryota; Viridiplantae; Streptophyta; Magnoliopsida; Rosales; Rosaceae
Source: RefSeq, a predicted model, not a curated record